Molecule: small nuclear RNA, 100 nt
Filed under: Sciurus vulgaris (Eurasian red squirrel)
Lineage: Eukaryota; Metazoa; Chordata; Mammalia; Rodentia; Sciuridae
Source: RNAcentral
AUAUAUCAGCAGCAUAUAUACUAAAAUCAUGAUACAGAGAAGAUUAGCAUGGCUCCUGCACAAGAACAACACACAAAUUCCUCAUAUAUUUCAUUUAAAA